CAAGAAUUCAAACGUUUGUCCUUAAUUAAAGCUCAUUAACUAUUUGUCUCAUGUUCUAAAGGAUCCAUUUAUAUCAUAUCCUAAAUACUAUUCCGGCCUCUUUUGUAAGCAAAAAUUCCUUUUUGCACACUUAUUAAGGAAUAUCAUUUUUAUUUUAAUCUUAUGUGAUAUUUCGAUUGAAAUUUCUAAAAUGACAUUACAAUAUAUAUAUUAAAUAUAUAUGCAUCGGGACUCUACAAUCAUGUUAAAAAGUAGAACAAUUAAUAAGAGUACUUUUGGAAAAAUAACAUUAAAUGAAAUUGAUUUUGAUAACUUUUG
Molecule: long non-coding RNA, 318 nt
Filed under: Trifolium pratense (red clover)
Lineage: Eukaryota; Viridiplantae; Streptophyta; Magnoliopsida; Fabales; Fabaceae
Description: long non-coding RNA (TPRA_LNC003945)
Source: RNAcentral